This 373-nucleotide ribosomal RNA is filed under the name uncultured bacterium. RNAcentral describes it as "bacterial SSU rRNA". It matches the Rfam family "Bacterial small subunit ribosomal RNA", at positions 521 to 896 of the family's 1533-position model. The record is from RNAcentral.
UAAUACGGAGGAUGCGAGCGUUAUCCGGAUUUAUUGGGUUUAAAGGGAGCGCAGACGGGAGAUUAAGUCAGUUGUGAAAGUUUGCGGCUCAACCGUAAAAUUGCAGUUGAUACUGGUUUCCUUGAGUGCAGUUGAGGCAGGCGGAAUUCGUGGUGUAGCGGUGAAAUGCUUAGAUAUCACGAAGAACCCCGAUUGCGAAGGCAGCUUGCUAAACUGUAACUGACGUUCAUGCUCGAAAGUGUGGGUAUCAAACAGGAUUAGAUACCCUGGUAGUCCACACGGUAAACGAUGGAUACUCGCUGUUGGCGAUAUACUGUCAGCGGCCAAGCGAAAGCAUUAAGUAUCCCACCUGGGGAGUACGCCGGCAACGGUG